Molecule: ribosomal RNA, 426 nt
Filed under: uncultured bacterium
Lineage: Bacteria
Description: partial 16S ribosomal RNA
Rfam family: Bacterial small subunit ribosomal RNA
Source: RNAcentral
GUGGGGGAUAUUGCACAAUGGGGGAAACCCUGAUGCAGCAACGCCGCGUGAAGGAAGAAGGUCUUCGGAUUGUAAACUUUUGUCUUGCGGGACGAAUAAUGACGGUACCGCAGGAGGAAGCCACGGCUAACUACGUGCCAGCAGCCGCGGUAAUACGUAGGUGGCGAGCGUUGUCCGGAAUUACUGGGUGUAAAGGGUGCGUAGGCGGAUUUGCAAGUCAGGUGUGAAAACUAUCGGCUUAACCGGUAGCCUGCACUUGAAACUGUAAGUCUUGAGUGGUGAAGAGGUAAGCGGAAUUCCUAGUGUAGCGGUGAAAUGCGUAGAUAUUAGGAGGAACACCAGUGGCGAAGGCGGCUUACUGGGCACUAACUGACGCUGAGGCACGAAAGCAUGGGGAGCAAACAGGAUUAGAUACCCCAGUAGUCC